UUUCUAAGAGAAAGAUAAACUAAGGCUAAUUCCAUUAACUCUUGCCCUACUCUUUUCUUUUGAUAAGAGAGUUUUUAAAACCAGUGUUAUUUUUGUAAGUUUAAGAGAAGUUUGUGUAUUGAAUUUUUUAUUUUUAAUAUUAAAGAGCUUUGUUAAACUUAGACUUAAGUUUAGGUCAUUUUGGGGGUUUAGCUCAGUUGGCUAGAGCAUCGGCUUUGCAAGCCGAGGGUCAAGGGUUCGAGUCCCUUAACCUCCAUUGGGCUUAUGUCCUAAAUUGUAAUUAAGUAUGUUUUUAAGCAACUUUGUUAAAGUAAUUGUUAGAAUGUGAAACAGAGAAAGUUAAAAUUUCUGGGUUAAGUUGAGAUCUGUUGAUAUUAAGAAGAAUCUCUAGAAGCAAAAGCAAGCUUUCGAUAAAACCCGAAGUUGUUUCGCUAAAGUGCAAGGAUUAAACAGGAUUGUAUUUUCCAGCAGCCUAUUUUAUAAACGAUCUGCAUUUAGUAAAUAGUUUUUAGUUAAGAAAUAAUGUAGAUUGCUAAGUGUGAUGUCUGAAAGAAGGACAAGUAUUUUAGCGAGCCUAAAU
This 580-nucleotide unclassified non-coding RNA is filed under the name Borreliella burgdorferi (Lyme disease spirochete). RNAcentral's name for it is "partial may contain 16S ribosomal RNA and 16S-23S ribosomal RNA intergenic spacer". The stretch from base 183 to 256 matches the Rfam family "tRNA". The record is from RNAcentral. Lineage: Bacteria; Pseudomonadati; Spirochaetota; Spirochaetia; Spirochaetales; Borreliaceae.